Molecule: ribosomal RNA, 465 nt
Filed under: Vreelandella stevensii
Lineage: Bacteria; Pseudomonadati; Pseudomonadota; Gammaproteobacteria; Oceanospirillales; Halomonadaceae
Description: partial 16S ribosomal RNA
Rfam family: Bacterial small subunit ribosomal RNA
Source: RNAcentral
CCUACGGGAGGCAGCAGUGGGGAAUAUUGGACAAUGGGCGAAAGCCUGAUCCAGCCAUGCCGCGUGUGUGAAGAAGGCCUUCGGGUUGUAAAGCACUUUCAGUGGGGAAGAAAGCCUUGGGGCUAAUACCCUCGAGGAAGGACAUCACCCACAGAAGAAGCACCGGCUAACUCCGUGCCAGCAGCCGCGGUAAUACGGAGGGUGCGAGCGUUAAUCGGAAUUACUGGGCGUAAAGCGCGCGUAGGCGGUCUGAUAAGCCGGUUGUGAAAGCCCCGGGCUCAACCUGGGAACGGCAUCCGGAACUGUCAGGCUAGAGUGCAGGAGAGGAAGGUAGAAUUCCCGGUGUAGCGGUGAAAUGCGUAGAGAUCGGGAGGAAUACCAGUGGCGAAGGCGGCCUUCUGGACUGAAACUGACGCUGAGGUGCGAAAGCGUGGGUAGCAAACAGGAUUAGAUACCCCUGUAGUC